CAGGCCUAACACAUGCAAGUCGAACGCCCCGCAAGGGGAGUGGCAGACGGGUGAGUAACACGUGGGAACGUGCCCUACGGUUCGGGAUAACUCUGGGAAACUAGAGCUAAUACCGGAUACGUGCGAGAGCAGAAAGAUUUAUCGCCGUAGGAUCGGCCCGCGUCUGAUUAGCUAGUUGGUGAGGUAAUGGCUCACCAAGGCGACGAUCAGUAGCUGGUCUGAGAGGAUGAUCAGCCACACUGGGACUGAGACACGGCCCAGACUCCUACGGGAGGCAGCAGUGGGGAAUAUUGGACAAUGGGCGAAAGCCUGAUCCAGCCAUGCCGCGUGAGUGAUGACGGCCUUAGGGUUGUAAAGCUCUUUUACCCGGGAAGAUAAAGACGGUACCGGGGGAAUAAGCUCCGGCUAACUCCGUGUCUGC
This 421-nucleotide ribosomal RNA is filed under the name uncultured bacterium. RNAcentral's name for it is "bacterial SSU rRNA". It matches the Rfam family "Bacterial small subunit ribosomal RNA", at positions 43 to 512 of the family's 1533-position model. The record is from RNAcentral.